AAUGGGCGCAAGCCUGAUCCAGCCAUGCCGCGUGAGUGACGAAGGCCUUAGGGUUGUAAAGCUCUUUUGUCGGGGACGAUAAUGACGGUACCCGAAGAAUAAGCUCCGGCUAACUUCGUGCCAGCAGCCGCGGUAAUACGAAGGGAGCUAGCGUUGUUCGGAAUCACUGGGCGUAAAGCGCACGUAGGCGGAUCGCUAAGUCAGGGGUGAAAUCCCGGGGCUCAACCUCGGAACUGCCUUUGAUACUGGCGAUCUCGAGUCCGGAAGAGGUGAGUGGAAUUCCUAGUGGAGAGGUGAAAUUCGUAGAUAUUAGGAAGAACACCAGUGGCGAAGGCGGCUCACUGGUCCGGUACUGACGCUGAGGUGCGAAAGCGUGGGGAGCAAA
This 385-nucleotide ribosomal RNA is filed under the name uncultured bacterium. RNAcentral describes it as "bacterial SSU rRNA". It matches the Rfam family "Bacterial small subunit ribosomal RNA", at positions 370 to 772 of the family's 1533-position model. The record is from RNAcentral.